This 402-nucleotide ribosomal RNA is filed under the name uncultured bacterium. RNAcentral's name for it is "bacterial SSU rRNA". It matches the Rfam family "Bacterial small subunit ribosomal RNA", at positions 355 to 774 of the family's 1533-position model. The record is from RNAcentral.
UCGGGAAUUUUGGGCAAUGGGCGAAAGCCUGACCCAGCAACGCCGCGUGAGGGAUGAAGUAUUUCGGUAUGUAAACCUCGAAAGAAUGGGAAGAAUAAAUGACGGUACCAUUUAUAAGCUCCGGCUAACUACGUGCCAGCAGCCGCGGUAAUACGUAGGGAGCAAGCGUUGUUCGGAUUUACUGGGCGUAAAGGGCGUGUAGGCGGCGCGGUAAGUCACUUGUGAAAUCUCUGAGCUUAACUCAGAACGGCCAAGUGAUACUGCUGUGCUAGAGUGCGGAAGAGGCAACCGGAAUUCUUGGUGUAGCGGUGAAAUGCGUAGAUAUCAAGAGGAACACCUGAGGCGAAGGCGGGUUGCUGGGCCGACACUGACGCUGAUGCGCGAAAGCCAGGGGAGCAAACG